UAUUUGCCUGAGAACUACUGGCCACAGCUUAAAACUCAAAGGACUUGGCGGUACUUUAUAUCCAUCUAGAGGAGCCUGUUCUAUAAUCGAUAAACCCCGCUAUACCUCACCACCCCUUGCUAAUACAGCCUAUAUACCGCCAUCUUCAGCAAACCCUAAAAAGGAGCAAAAGUAAGCAAGAGAAUCNCCAUAAAAACGUUAGGUCAAGGUGUAGCCAAUGAGGUGGGAAGCAAUGGGCUACAUUUUCUUACAAAGAACAUUACGCUACCCUUUAUGAAACUAAAGGACAAAGGAGGAUUUAGUAGUAAAUUAAGAAUAGAGAGCUUAAUUGAAUAGAGCAAUGAAGUACGUACACACCGCCCG
RNAcentral lists this ribosomal RNA (363 nucleotides) under Microtus subterraneus (Common pine vole). RNAcentral describes it as "Terricola subterraneus (Common pine vole) partial 12S ribosomal RNA". It matches the Rfam family "Bacterial small subunit ribosomal RNA", at positions 866 to 1396 of the family's 1533-position model. The record is from RNAcentral. Lineage: Eukaryota; Metazoa; Chordata; Mammalia; Rodentia; Cricetidae.